Molecule: ribosomal RNA, 637 nt
Filed under: uncultured bacterium
Lineage: Bacteria
Description: bacterial SSU rRNA
Rfam family: Bacterial small subunit ribosomal RNA
Source: RNAcentral
GCUUAACCGGAGAAGUGCAUCGGAAACUGGGAGACUUGAGUGCAGAAGAGGACAGUGGAACUCCAUGUGUAGCGGUGGAAUGCGUAGAUAUAUGGAAGAACACCAGUGGCGAAGGCGGCUGUCUGGUCUGUAACUGACGCUGAGGCUCGAAAGCAUGGGUAGCGAACAGGAUUAGAUACCCUGGUAGUCCAUGCCGUAAACGAUGAGUGCUAAGUGUUGGAGGGUUUCCGCCCUUCAGUGCUGCAGCUAACGCAUUAAGCACUCCGCCUGGGGAGUACGACCGCAAGGUUGAAACUCAAAGGAAUUGACGGGGGCCCGCACAAGCGGUGGAGCAUGUGGUUUAAUUCGAAGCUACGCGAAGAACCUUACCAGGUCUUGACAUCUUCUGCCAAUCUUAGAGAUAAGACGUUCCCUUCGGGGACAGAAUGACAGGUGGUGCAUGGUUGUCGUCAGCUCGUGUCGUGAGAUGUUGGGUUAAGUCCCGCAACGAGCGCAACCCUUAUUAUCAGUUGCCAGCAUUCAGUUGGGCACUCUGGUGAGACUGCCGGUGACAAACCGGAGGAAGGUGGGGAUGACGUCAAAUCAUCAUGCCCCUUAUGACCUGGGCUACACACGUGCUACAAUGGACGGUACAACG